RNAcentral lists this ribosomal RNA (380 nucleotides) under uncultured bacterium. RNAcentral describes it as "partial 16S ribosomal RNA". It matches the Rfam family "Bacterial small subunit ribosomal RNA", at positions 338 to 733 of the family's 1533-position model. The record is from RNAcentral.
CCUACGGGUGGCAGCAGUGGGGAAUAUUGGGCAAUGGGCGCAAGCCUGACCCAGCAAUGCCGCGUGAAGGAAGAAGGCUUUCGGGUUGUAAACUUCUUUGACAGGGGAAGAGCAGAAGACGGUACCCUGAAAACAAGCCACGGCUAAAUACGUGCCAGCAGCCGCGGUAAUACGUAGGUGGCAAGCGUUGUCCGGAUUUACUGGGUGUAAAGGGCGUGUAGCCGGGAAGGCAAGUCAGAUGUGAAAUCCGGAGGCUCAACCCCCGAAUUGCAGUUGAAACUGUUUGUCUUGAGUACUGGAGAGGUAUACGGAAUUCCUGGUGUAGCGGUGAAAUGCGUAGAUAUAGGGAAGAACACCAGUUGCGAAGGCGGUAUGCUGGA